Molecule: ribosomal RNA, 380 nt
Filed under: uncultured eukaryote
Lineage: Eukaryota
Description: partial 18S ribosomal RNA
Rfam family: Eukaryotic small subunit ribosomal RNA
Source: RNAcentral
CAAUAGCGUAUAUUAAAGUUGUUGCGGUUAAAAAGCUCGUAGUUGGAGUUCUGCCAGGUGACGCUCGUCCGCCCAAGUGGUGUGUACAGGGCGUGCAUCUGGCCCUUUCAAGGGGAACGUGUCUGCACUUUACUGUGUGGUGCGAGAUCCUUGACUUUUACUUUGAGGAAAUCAGAGUGUUCCAAGCAGGCUCUCGUCGUGUAUAGCUCAGCAUGGAAUAAUAGCAUUGGACUUCGUUUCUAAGCUGUUGGUUGCAAGAAGCGAGGUAAUGAUGAAGAGGGAUAGUUGGGGGCAUUCGUAUUUAACUGUCAGAGGUGAAAUUCUUGGAUUUGUCAAAGACGGACUACUGCGAAAGCAUCUGCCAUGGAUGUUUUCAUUGA